RNAcentral lists this ribosomal RNA (1372 nucleotides) under uncultured bacterium. RNAcentral's name for it is "bacterial SSU rRNA". It matches the Rfam family "Bacterial small subunit ribosomal RNA", at positions 28 to 1381 of the family's 1533-position model. The record is from RNAcentral.
GAUGAACGCUGGCGGCGUGCCUAAUACAUGCAAGUCGAGCGAACGGACGAGAAGCUUGCUUCUCUGAUGUUAGCGGCGGACGGGUGAGUAACACGUGGAUAACCUACCUAUAAGACUGGGAUAACUUCGGGAAACCGGAGCUAAUACCGGAUAAUAUUUUGAACCGCAUGGUUCAAAAGUGAAAGACGGUCUUGCUGUCACUUAUAGAUGGAUCCGCGCUGCAUUAGCUAGUUGGUAAGGUAACGGCUUACCAAGGCAACGAUGCAUAGCCGACCUGAGAGGGUGAUCGGCCACACUGGAACUGAGACACGGUCCAGACUCCUACGGGAGGCAGCAGUAGGGAAUCUUCCGCAAUGGGCGAAAGCCUGACGGAGCAACGCCGCGUGAGUGAUGAAGGCCUUCGGAUCGUAAAACUCUGUUAUUAGGGAAGAACAUAUGUGUAAGUAACUGUGCACAUCUUGACGGUACCUAAUCAGAAAGCCACGGCUAACUACGUGCCAGCAGCCGCGGUAAUACGUAGGUGGCAAGCGUUAUCCGGAAUUAUUGGGCGUAAAGCGCGCGUAGGCGGUUUUUUAAGUCUGAUGUGAAAGCCCACGGCUCAACCGUGGAGGGUCAUUGGAAACUGGAAAACUUGAGUGCAGAAGAGGAAAGUGGAAUUCCAUGUGUAGCGGUGAAAUGCGCAGAGAUAUGGAGGAACACCAGUGGCGAAGGCGACUUUCUGGUCUGUAACUGACGCUGAUGUGCGAAAGCGUGGGGAUCAAACAGGAUUAGAUACCCUGGUAGUCCACGCCGUAAACGAUGAGUGCUAAGUGUUAGGGGGUUUCCGCCCCUUAGUGCUGCAGCUAACGCAUUAAGCACUCCGCCUGGGGAGUACGACCGCAAGGUUGAAACUCAAAGGAAUUGACGGGGACCCGCACAAGCGGUGGAGCAUGUGGUUUAAUUCGAAGCAACGCAAAGAACCUUACCAAAUCUUGACAUCCUUUGACAACUCUAGAGAUAGAGCCUUCCCCUUCGGGGGACAAAGUGACAGGUGGUGCAUGGUUGUCGUCAGCUCGUGUCGUGAGAUGUUGGGUUAAGUCCCGCAACGAGCGCAACCCUUAAGCUUAGUUGCCAUCAUUAAGUUGGGCACUCUAAGUUGACUGCCGGUGACAAACCGGAGGAAGGUGGGGAUGACGUCAAAUCAUCAUGCCCCUUAUGAUUUGGGCUACACACGUGCUACAAUGGACAAUACAAAGGGCAGCGAAACCGCGAGGUCAAGCAAAUCCCAUAAAGUUGUUCUCAGUUCGGAUUGUAGUCUGCAACUCGACUACAUGAAGCUGGAAUCGCUAGUAAUCGUAGAUCAGCAUGCUACGGUGAAUACGUUCCCGGGUCU